UCAGGUAUUAGGCAAGCGAGUUUAGCCAAGCGAGUACAGGCAAGCGAGUCAAGCUAAGCGAGUUUAGGUUUUAUGCAAGCGAGUUUAGGUAAGAGAGUCAAGUUACUUUAGGCCUCACUUUAUUUGCGGUUAAAUUGCGGCAUUAGGUUUAGAAAGAAGGUUAAGAUCCAGGCUCAGGUUUGCUUCCAGCCUCGUCCCUCUAGUCGCUCCCUAUAAAGAGGGUUCCCAGCUACCGUGUUAAAAUACAACAGCUGGGAUUACAGAUAUGGAGUACAGAAAUAAAUGACAAA
Gadus macrocephalus (Pacific cod) is the source of this 290-nucleotide long non-coding RNA. RefSeq lists it as uncharacterized. The record is from RefSeq and is a predicted model, not a curated record. The transcript is spliced from 2 exons. NCBI's taxonomy places the organism in Eukaryota, Metazoa, Chordata, Actinopteri, Gadiformes, Gadidae.